This is a non-coding RNA of Schistosoma mansoni, 45 nucleotides long. Lineage: Eukaryota; Metazoa; Platyhelminthes; Trematoda; Strigeidida; Schistosomatidae. The record is from Rfam.
AUCUAGCUGACAAGUCCCAAAUAGGACGGAAUGCAUGUACUGGAU